GUGAGGAAAAAACAAAACAAGAAGAAAGUAGAGGAGGUGCUAGAGGAAGAGGAAUAUGUGGUGGAAAAAGUUCUAGACCGGCAAGUGGUAAAGGGCCAAGUGGAGUAUCUCCUAAAGUGGAAGAGGGUCUCAGAUGAGGACAACACAUGGGAGCCGGGAGAUAACCUGACUGCCCUGACCUCACUGCUGUUUCUGCAGUCACAGAAAACAGCACCCGAGACAGACAAACCAGAUGGAGGCAAGUGCAAAGCUGAUUCUGAUUCAGACAAUAUGGGGGAGGAGAGCAAACCAAAGAAGAAGAAAAGAAUCAGAAAAGUCACAAGGCUUUGCCUGGGGUUUGGAACCUGAGUGGAUUAUUGGAACUACAGAUUCCAGUGGAGAACUCAUGUUCCUGAUGAAAUGGAAAAACUCUGAUGAGGCUGACCUGGUCCCUGCCAAGGAAGCCAAUGUCAAGUGCCCACAGGUUAUCAUAUCCUUCUAUGAGGAAUGCUGAGGUGCCAUUCUUAUCCCUCAGAGGAUGAUGACAAAAAAAACAAGAAUUAA
RNAcentral lists this long non-coding RNA (543 nucleotides) under Bos taurus (domestic cattle). RNAcentral describes it as "long non-coding RNA NONBTAT023569". Lineage: Eukaryota; Metazoa; Chordata; Mammalia; Artiodactyla; Bovidae. The record is from RNAcentral.